This 501-nucleotide ribosomal RNA is filed under the name soil bacterium S32D1. RNAcentral describes it as "bacterial SSU rRNA". It matches the Rfam family "Bacterial small subunit ribosomal RNA", at positions 50 to 568 of the family's 1533-position model. The record is from RNAcentral.
AACACAUGCAAGUCGAACGGUGAAGCCCUUCGGGGUGGAUCAGUGGCGAACGGGUGAGUAACACGUGGGCAAUCUGCCCUGCACUCUGGGACAAGCCCUGGAAACGGGGUCUAAUACCGGAUACNACCCGCCCCUGCAUGGGGGUGGGUGGAAAGCUCCGGCGGUGCAGGAUGAGCCCGCGGCCUAUCAGCUUGUUGGUGGGGUAAUGGCCUACCAAGGCGACGACGGGUAGCCGGCCUGAGAGGGCGACCGGCCACACUGGGACUGAGACACGGCCCAGACUCCUACGGGAGGCAGCAGUGGGGAAUAUUGCACAAUGGGCGAAAGCCUGAUGCAGCGACGCCGCGUGAGGGAUGACGGCCUUCGGGUUGUAAACCUCUUUCAGCAGGGAAGAAGCGCAAGUGACGGUACCUGCAGAAGAAGCACCGGCUAACUACGUGCCAGCAGCCGCGGUAAUACGUAGGGUGCGAGCGUUGUCCGGAAUUAUUGGGCGUAAAGAGC